Long non-coding RNA from Passer domesticus (house sparrow), 443 nucleotides. RefSeq lists it as uncharacterized. The record is from RefSeq and is a predicted model, not a curated record. The transcript has 2 exons. Lineage: Eukaryota; Metazoa; Chordata; Aves; Passeriformes; Passeridae.
UCCCAGAGGCAGCCGCAGGUCCCAGAUGCAAGCGCACAGGGGAGGCUCGGAGUGUAUGGAUGGACAUAUUGAUGGAUGCAUGCAUGCAAAGAUGGAUGGAUGGUGCCCAAGGCCACCAGUUGCCACAGGAAAGUUCCUCUCUGGAUCUCCACAACAUGGUCCAGAGAAAAUGGUGAAACCCAGAAGAAUCCAGCGCCUCCACCUCCUCCUCCAUAUGAAUCACUAGGACUCUUUGCCAUGAAGAAGCAUAGGGAGACGAAGGACUGACAGGAUGCUGCUGGAGCCAAGCGUAGUGUCUUGUCUUCUGCUUGACUUUUCCACUCCAUUCCUGCACGUCACCCCAAUGCCCUCCUCUCUUCUUCUCCCUCUUCUUUUCUCUAUUCCUUUCUAUCUGUCUGCUUCACAUUUAUUGUUGAAUAAAAUCCCUGUUGUUGUCUUUGGUA